RNAcentral lists this unclassified non-coding RNA (253 nucleotides) under uncultured Sphingobacteriales bacterium. RNAcentral's name for it is "contains 16S-23S intergenic spacer region". It matches the Rfam family "Bacterial small subunit ribosomal RNA", at positions 524 to 776 of the family's 1533-position model. The record is from RNAcentral. Lineage: Bacteria; Pseudomonadati; Bacteroidota; Sphingobacteriia; Sphingobacteriales.
GACGAAGGAUGCGAGCGUUAUCCGGAUUCACUGGGUUUAAAGGGUGCGUAGGCGGGUAGAUAAGUCACAGGUAAAAGGUCACGGCUUAACCGUGGAACUGCCUGUGAUACUGUCUAUCUUGAAGGUGAUCGACGUUUCUGGAAUAGGGCAAGUAGAGGUGAAAUUCAUAGAUAUGCCCUAGAACACCGAAAGCGAAGGCAGGAAACGAGGUCAUACUUGACGCUGAGGCACGAAAGCGUGGGGAGCAAACAGG